CCUACGGGUGGCAGCAGUGAGGACUAUUGGUCAAUGGGCGGGAGCCUGAACCAGCCAAGUCGCGUGAGGGAAGACGGUCCUACGGAUUGUAAACCUCUUUUGCCGGGGAGCAACGGGGUCCUUGCGAGGGCCCAAUGAGAGUACCCGGAGAAAAAGCAUCGGCUAACUCCGUGCCAGCAGCCGCGGUAAUACGGAGGAUGCGAGCGUUAUCCGGAUGUAUUGGGUUUAAAGGGUGCGUAGGCGGUCCGUUAAGUCAGCGGUAAAAUUGCGGGGCUCAACCCCGUCGAGCCGUUGAAACUGGCAGACUUGAGUUGGCGAGAAGUACGCGGAAUGCGCGGUGGAGCGGUGAAAUGCAUAGAUAUCGCGCAGAACUCCGAUUGCGAAGGCAGCGUACCGGCGCCAGACUGACGCUGAGGCACGAAAGCGUGGGGAUCGAACAGGAUUAGAUACCCCUGUAGUC
Molecule: ribosomal RNA, 460 nt
Filed under: uncultured bacterium
Lineage: Bacteria
Description: partial 16S ribosomal RNA
Rfam family: Bacterial small subunit ribosomal RNA
Source: RNAcentral